CAGAUAAUCUCUUAUGGAGGGAAGAACAAGAGGAAGGUAUUUGCACUAUCAACAUUCUUCAUUUGUGUUUCAAUUCUACUGAAACAGAAGAAGAGAAGACACAGAUGAGAGGAGAAGGUGAUGUAAAGGCAGGUUGGAGGUAUGCAGCCACAGUGAGGGAGCAUCUGGAGGCACC
This is a long non-coding RNA of Pipistrellus kuhlii (Kuhl's pipistrelle), 175 nucleotides long. RefSeq lists it as uncharacterized. The transcript has 2 exons. NCBI's taxonomy places the organism in Eukaryota, Metazoa, Chordata, Mammalia, Chiroptera, Vespertilionidae. The record is from RefSeq and is a predicted model, not a curated record.